AUUGGGAGUUGUCGAUGUGUAGUAGCCAGAGGCCCUCUCCCCUCUCCACCAGCUAUCCCUGUACCCUGCGCCAGUACCUUUGUGUGAACACACCCAGCCCCCGCCUCGCUGCCAUGAUGCUGCUGCAGCUGCUGGAAGGCGUGGACCAUCUGGUUCAACAGGGCAUCGCGCACAGAGACCUGAAAUCCGACAACAUCCUUGUGGAGCUGGACCCAGACGGCUGCCCCUGGCUGGUGAUCGCAGAUUUUGGCUGCUGCCUGGCUGAUGAGAGCAUCGGCCUGCAGUUGCCCUUCAGCAGCUGGUACGUGGAUCGGGGCGGAAACGGCUGUCUGAUGGCCCCAGAGGUGUCCACGGCCCGUCCUGGCCCCAGGGCAGUGAUUGACUACAGCAAGGCUGAUGCCUGGGCAGUGGGAGCCAUCGCCUAUGAAAUCUUCGGGCUUGUCAAUCCCUUCUACGGCCAGGGCAAGGCCCACCUUGAAAGCCGCAGCUACCGAGAGGCUCAGCUACCUGCACUGCCCGAGUCAGUGCCUCCAGACGUGAGACAGUUGGUGAGGGCACUGCUCCAGCGAGAGGCCAGCAAGAGACCAUCUGCCCGAGUAGCCGCAAAUGUGCUUCAUCUAAGCCUCUGGGGUGAACAUAUUCUAGCCCUGAAGAAUCUGAAGUUAGACAAGAUGGUUGGUUGGCUCCUCCAACAAUCGGCCGCCACUUUGUUGGCCAGCAGGCUCACAGAGAAGUGUUGUGUGGAAACAAAAAUGAAGAUGCUCUUUCUGGCUAACCUGGAGUGUGAAACGCUCUGCCAGGCAGCCCUCCUCCUCUGCUCAUGGAGGGCAGCCCUGUGAUGUCCCUGCAUGGAGCUGGUGAAUUACUAAAAGAACUUGGCAUCCUCUGUGUCGUGAUGGUCUGUGAAUGGUGAGGGUGGGAGUCAGGAGACAAGACAGCGCAGAGAGGGCUGGUUAGCCGGAAAAGGCCUCGGGCUUGGCAAAUGGAAGAACUUGAGUGAGAGUUCAGUCUGCAGUCCUGUGCUCACAGACAUCUGAAAAGUGACUGGCCAAGCUGGUCUAGUAGAUGAGGCUGGACUGAGGAGGGGUAGGCCUGCAUCCACAUAGAGGAUCCAGGCCAAGGCACUGGCUGUCAGUGGCAGAGUUUGGCUGUGACCUUUGCCCCUAACACGAGGAACUCGUUUGAAGGGGGCAGCGUAGCAUGUCUGAUUUGCCACCUGGAUGAAGGCAGACAUCAACAUGGGUCAGCACGUUCAGUUACGGGAGUGGGAAAUUACAUGAGGCCUGGGCCUCUGCGUUCCCAAGCUGUGCGUUCUGGACCAGCUACUGAAUUAUUAAUCAUCUCACUUAGCGAAAGUGACUGAUGAGCAGUAAGUAAGUGUGGGGAUUUAAACUUGAGGGUUUCCCUCCUGACUAGCCUCUCUUACAGGAAUUGUGAAAUAUUAAAUGCAAAUUUACAACUGCAGAUGACGUAUGUGCCUUGAACUGAAUAUUUGGCUUUAAGAAUGAUUCUUACACUCUGAAGGUGAGAAUAUUUUGUGGGCAGGUAUCAACAUUGGGGAAGAGAUUUCACGUCUAACUAACUUUAUACAUGAUUUUUAGGAAGCUAUUGCCUAAAUCAGCGUCAACAUGCAGUAAAGGUUGUCUUCAACCG
Molecule: small RNA, 1653 nt
Filed under: Pan troglodytes (chimpanzee)
Lineage: Eukaryota; Metazoa; Chordata; Mammalia; Primates; Hominidae
Description: processed transcript
Source: RNAcentral